RNAcentral lists this ribosomal RNA (180 nucleotides) under uncultured Actinomycetales bacterium. RNAcentral's name for it is "partial 16S ribosomal RNA". It matches the Rfam family "Bacterial small subunit ribosomal RNA", at positions 158 to 334 of the family's 1533-position model. Lineage: Bacteria; Bacillati; Actinomycetota; Actinomycetes; Actinomycetales. The record is from RNAcentral.
UGGGUCUAAUACCGGAUACGACCAAUCUCCGCAUGGGGUGUUGGUGGAAAGCGUUAUGGAGUGGUUUUAGAUGGGCUCACGGCCUAUCAGCUUGUUGGUGAGGUAAUGGCUUACCAAGGCGACGACGGGUAGCCGGCCUGAGAGGGUGACCGGCCACACUGGGACUGAGACACGGCCCAG